AGGGUGUAAACGCUGCAGACUUGGUGUUGGGAACCCUUCGGGGGUGCUCAGUGCCGGAGAGAAGUUGUUAAGUCUGCUACUUGGGGAGUACGUCCGCAAGGAUGAAACUUAAAGGAAUUGGCGGGGGAGCACCGCAACGGGAGGAGCGUGCGGUUUAAUUGGAUUCAACGCCGAAAAACUCACCAGCAGCGACUGUUACAUGAAAGUCAGGUUGAUGACCUUACUAGAUUUUCAGAGAGGAGUGCAUGGCGUCAGUGACU
Molecule: ribosomal RNA, 260 nt
Filed under: uncultured archaeon
Lineage: Archaea
Description: partial 16S ribosomal RNA
Rfam family: Archaeal small subunit ribosomal RNA
Source: RNAcentral